GGGUACUCCUAGCCUGCGCCUUUAAGAAGGGUAGGCCUCGACUUUGACGUCUCUGCCUUCCCCGCCCUUCAGGCCCCCACUGGUCGCGUCCGGCGCUGGAGGAGCCCAGUCAGCCGGCGCCUGCCGGGUUAGCACGUGGACUCCGAGGGGCCAACUAUCAGCUUUCCCUGACAAAAUGCCUUUGAGCUCCCCCACAGCUCUGAAACUCCAGCUUGGGAGCAGGGAGAGUGCAAUCUGUGACCUGUAAAGGGGCGCUGGGCAAAAGGGCCCGAGAGAAGGCGUCCUUUCCAUUCCCUUCCCAUCUCAAGCUGAGUUCAGAAAUGACACGAAAUAAUUUAAUCAACUAUCAGUCAAGGUCGGGCUCACGCCUGUAAUCCCAGCAGUUUGGGAGGCCGAGGUGGGCGGAUCACCUGAGGACAGGAGUUCGAGACCAGCCUGACCAACAUGACGAAGCCCCGUCUCUACUAAAAAUACAAAAAUUAGCCAGCGGUGGUGGUGCGCACCUGUAGUCUCAGCUACUUGGGAGGCUGAGGCCAGAGAAUCGCUUGAGCCCGCGAGGUCGAGGCUGCAGUGAGCCGAGAUCACACCACUGCACUCCAACCUGGAUGACAGAGGGAGACUCU
RNAcentral lists this long non-coding RNA (623 nucleotides) under Homo sapiens (human). RNAcentral's name for it is "lncAB255.1". Lineage: Eukaryota; Metazoa; Chordata; Mammalia; Primates; Hominidae. The record is from RNAcentral.